GUAAAAAAAUAAUAAAAAUAGCUAGAACUGACGUUUUGCGAAUUUCGAUCAUAUGGACCAGUUGAAUAAUUGCAGCAGAAUUUUUUUUAUUAUUGGCAAAAGAGAUAGACAUUGAUCGAAAUACGUCUUACGUCAUUUCUUUUUUAUUAUAACAAUAUGACGUCAUAUUUUAUAGAUAUUAAAAAAAAAUAUAAGACAAACUUUAGAAUUGUAUCGAGAAAGUUUGAUAGAAAAAAUUAACAUGUUUUUGACUGAUUUGUUUAUGAUAAAUAAAUAAAAAAAAUAAUCGAACUUGAUAACUUUGUAGUUAACGCAAUUUAAUACUAAUUAAUAAAGAAAAUUAUACGCUUCGAUCAAUAAUUACGUAGAAUGUAGUAAUUAAAAUUAAUUUACUUUUCGUAUAUUUAAAGAACGAAAAUAUAUAUAUAUAUAUUAAUAACUCUUUUCUAAUUUUUGAACUUAGAUCACAACACUGUUUCAAACUAUCACGGAGAAGGAAAGUUUUAAAUAUACGUCGUACUGACGAUCUAGCGCUCUGCUGAAGAGUGUUUAACGUGUGCCUCGAAUAGUUUGUGGAUAAAGUUGGAGCGAUAGCAAGCGCAAACUUGUCGAGUACACUCGAUGAACACCCGUGACCAGAGCGGUAGAUCACGUUGAGGCGUAUAUGAAAAAUUUCUCUGAUAAUUUAACACUUAAGUAGCUUCAUUUGCAUAUGCAAGAUGUGUGCCUUUUUAAUAUAUGUGCUUAUUUAUGUUCUAUAUUUUUCUGUCUGUGUAAUUUUUCCUUAAAUUCAAUAUCACUUAAUGUGGUCUUCUAUAUAUUAAUAUAUAUUUCUAUCCUCUGUUUAUUCUUAUAUAAGCGAUUUUAUAUAUAUACAUGUGUAUAUGUAUAUGCACAUUAUGUUUUUCUGUUCACGAGGAGACAUUUGAUACAUAUAUAUAAAAAUAAUCGCUCAAAAUCAAAAUAAGAAAAAAAAAAGAAACAACAAUGGCAAAAGAUAAUGAUCAAUUAAUUGCUCAAAUAUUUCAAUAUAAUUUCUUAAUUUUUUUAAUGUUAUUUAUGUCAUUUUAAUUUUGUAUUUACGUAAAUUUUGGAUUAAAUAAAAAUAAUUGCAAAAAAAAAGUCUGCAGUGACAGGCGAACAGCGUCAAGGGUCCAAAAAAACAAACAAAAUAAAGAAAAAUUGUUUCCUCUUUUUUAAUAAGGGGUUCGGAUUAUCGCAUGUUAAUUCGUAAGAAAAAAUAAUAAUAAUAAUAAAAAUAAAAAAAAAGAGUUGUGUCAAAUAAAGGGAACAAAUUUAUAAUUUUCUGGAUAUGUUUGUAGUAAAAAGAGAAAGUGUUCAUAAAUUUUUUCAAACCUUUCUAAAUUUUUAUAUUGGUCAAAAUAAUUGAAUGAAUCCGUGAGUUAUUUACAUGUUGUGUUCUGAUAAUCAGCUGUUUGGAUGAAGUUUCUGAACACAUUCCGUGUUGUGAAUAUAAUAAUAAUAAUAAUAAAGAAUGCUUUUGAUGCAUUCUAAAUUGAAAACAAUAUCGUGCUUCGGAUAAUUAAAAAUAAUAAUAAUAAAUAUCUGUAGUCAAAAUAAAUCUGAGCACCUCGCAGUUUGUUUCUAUCUGAUGUGAAUUAUCGACAAAUUGCGGCACAAAUAAAAAUAUUAGGUAUAUUUAGAAUGAGUAUAAUAAUGUUUGUUGCAAAUAAUUAAUGUAACUGGUGUCUACAAGUUCAAUAAAUAUUUAUUUGAAUUCUCC
This 1744-nucleotide long non-coding RNA is filed under the name Androctonus crassicauda. Lineage: Eukaryota; Metazoa; Arthropoda; Arachnida; Scorpiones; Buthidae. The record is from RNAcentral.